GCCUCCGGCAGGUUAGUGGUUAGUGUUCUAGUCUGGUAGACCGGAGGUCGUGGGUUCGAUUCCCACCUGAGGCA
Molecule: non-coding RNA, 74 nt
Organism: Lucilia cuprina (Australian sheep blowfly)
Lineage: Eukaryota; Metazoa; Arthropoda; Insecta; Diptera; Calliphoridae
Source: Rfam